UGAAGUUAAGCAUGCAAGUCUUUCCAGGAUUGGGACCUUAAUAACUAAAUGGUAAAUUACCUAUGUAGCUAAUGUUAGUUUGAAAAAGUAAUGUACCCUAUCAAUGUGCAUACCUCUAACUUUUUUUAAAAUUUGUUUGAAUUGCAGUGAAAAGAUCAGAUGACAACUAUCAAGCUCAGAGAAUAAAAUACCAAAAAUAUUGUUUCGUAUAGAAGACCAUGACAACUGUGAUCAAGAUAUUAUUGCAUCACUUUUUUUUCUGAUACAAUUUUUCUGCGGUCAAAUAGCUUUUUUAAAUUGUGCUGCAGCUUGCAUUAAAUGUGCACACAGAGUGAGGAUCAGAAUAAAUUGUGAAGCAGUGCAGCAUUCCUUGUGAAGAAAACUUCUGAACAGUGGCAAACCAGGCGUUUUCCCCAGAGGCUGCUUUCCCU
RNAcentral lists this long non-coding RNA (431 nucleotides) under Gopherus agassizii (Agassiz's desert tortoise). Its description in RNAcentral is "lncRNA (ENSGAGG00000022381.1)". The record is from RNAcentral. Lineage: Eukaryota; Metazoa; Chordata; Testudines; Testudinidae.